RNAcentral lists this unclassified non-coding RNA (378 nucleotides) under plant metagenome. RNAcentral describes it as "partial contains 5.8S ribosomal RNA, internal transcribed spacer 2, and large subunit ribosomal RNA". The stretch from base 1 to 105 matches the Rfam family "5.8S ribosomal RNA", at positions 50 to 154 of the family's 154-position model. The record is from RNAcentral.
GAAAUGCGAUAAGUAAUGUGAAUUGCAGAAUUCAGUGAAUCAUCGAAUCUUUGAACGCACCUUGUGCUCCUUGGCAUUCCUUGGAGCAUGCCUGUUUGAGUAUCAUGAAAUCUUCAAAGUAAAUCUUUUGUUAACUCAAUUGGUUUCUACUUUGGUAUUGGAGGUCUUUGCAGCUUCACACCUGCUCCUCUUUGUUCAUUAGCUGGAUCUCAGUGUUAUGCUUGGUUCCACUCGGCGUGAUAAGUUAUCUAUCGCUGAGGACACUGUAAAAGGUGGCCAAGGUAAAUGCAGAUGAACCGCUUCUAAUAGUCCAUUGACUUGGACAAUACUUUUAUGAUCUGAUCUCAAAUCAGGUAGGACUACCCGCUGAACUUAAGC